RNAcentral lists this transfer RNA (153 nucleotides) under Sphingomonas daechungensis. Its description in RNAcentral is "tRNA-Tyr". The stretch from base 84 to 150 matches the Rfam family "tRNA". Lineage: Bacteria; Pseudomonadati; Pseudomonadota; Alphaproteobacteria; Sphingomonadales; Sphingomonadaceae. The record is from RNAcentral.
GGAUGCUGAGUUGGCCCUCAAGGCUGAGAAGUCGCUGCUCGCUACAUAAACGAUACAUAUAGGCGCCUUUCUGACGGUUUUCUGCGGAGGAGCAGCAGACUGUAAAUCUGCCCGCGCAAGCGUACGCUGGUUCGAAUCCAGCCCUCUCCACCA